GCACGAGGCUUCGGCCUAUUGGCGAACGGGUGAGUAACACGUGGGUGACCUGCCCUCUGGAGGGGGAUAACCCGGGGAAACCCGGGCUAAUACCGCGUAUGGCCUACGGGUCAGAGACUUCGGUCGCCAGAGGAUGGGCCCGCGUCCCAUUAUUUAAUCCUUGUUGGUAGGGUAACGGCCUACCAAGGGUACGAUGGGUAGCUGGUCUGAGAGGACGAUCAGCCACACUGGGACUGAGACACGGCCCAGACUCCUACGGGAGGCAGCAGUGGGGAAUAUUGCGCAAUGGGCGAAAGCCUGACGCAGCCACGCCGCGUGAGUGAUGAAGGCCUUCGGGUUGUAAAGCUCUGUCGGGAGGGAAGAAGAUCUGACGGUACCUCCCAAGAAAGCGCCGGCUAACUCCGUGCCAGCAGCCGCGGUAAUACGGAGGGCGCAAGCGUUGCUCGGAAUCACUGGGCGUAAAGCGGACGCAGGCGGCUUGCCAAGUCAGGUGUGAAAGCCCGGGGCUCAACCCCGGAAUUGCACUUGAAACUGGCAACCUGGAGUACGGGAGAGGAGAGCGGAAUUCCUGGUGUAGAGGUGAAAUUCGUAGAUAUCAGGAGGAACACCAGUGGCGAAAGCGGCUCUCUGGCCCGAUACUGACGCUGAGGUCCGAAAGCGUGGGUAGCAAACAGGAUUAGAUACCCUGGUAGUCCACGCCGUAACGAUGAGUGCUAGCUGGUGGGUUUGUUUACCGACUUACCGGCGAAGCUAACGCAUUAAGCACUCCGCCUGGGGAGUACGGCCGCAAGGCUAAAAC
Molecule: ribosomal RNA, 799 nt
Filed under: uncultured bacterium
Lineage: Bacteria
Description: bacterial SSU rRNA
Rfam family: Bacterial small subunit ribosomal RNA
Source: RNAcentral